GCUCCUACGGGCGGCUGCAGUAGGGAAUAUUGGGCAAUGGAGGCAACUCUGACCCAGCCAUGCCGCGUGCAGGAUGACGGCCCUCUGGGUUGUAAACUGCUUUUAUACGGGAAGAAAAAAUACUACGUGUAGUAUACUGACGGUACCGUAAGAAUAAGGAUCGGCUAACUCCGUGCCAGCAGCCGCGGUAAUACGGAGGAUCCAAGCGUUGUCCGGAUUUAUUGGGUUUAAAGGGUGCGUAGGCGGAUCUUUAAGUCAGUGGUGAAAGCCUGCAGCUUAACUGUAAAAUUGCCAUUGAAACUGAAGAUCUUGAAUGUGGUUAAAGUAGGCGGAAUGUAUCAUGUAGCGGUGAAAUGCUUAGAUAUGAUACAGAACACCGAUAGCGAAGGCAGCUUGCUGAACCAUUAUUGACGCUGAGGCACGAAAGCGUGGGGAGCGAACAGGAUUAGAUACCCCGGUAGUC
RNAcentral lists this ribosomal RNA (463 nucleotides) under uncultured Sphingobacteriales bacterium. RNAcentral's name for it is "bacterial SSU rRNA". It matches the Rfam family "Bacterial small subunit ribosomal RNA", at positions 335 to 795 of the family's 1533-position model. Lineage: Bacteria; Pseudomonadati; Bacteroidota; Sphingobacteriia; Sphingobacteriales. The record is from RNAcentral.